This 3276-nucleotide long non-coding RNA is filed under the name Nicotiana tabacum (common tobacco). RNAcentral describes it as "long non-coding RNA (NTAB_LNC010494)". Lineage: Eukaryota; Viridiplantae; Streptophyta; Magnoliopsida; Solanales; Solanaceae. The record is from RNAcentral.
UAGAUAUUAAUUGCCUAAAGGAAGAACCACAUCAAACGAUUUUGUUUUCAAUUUCUAGGAGUAGUAUUCCAGAAGAAAAUUCUAACGGAAAUAUAAAAACACAAAAUAUCCUUUUUUUUUGGAUUUUUGAUUUAUAACACAUCUUUUUCCAAUACAAAAAUGAAAUACCCAACAUUACUAUACAAACUAGAAGGUAAAAGACGACCUAAAUAAAACAACAGACUCAAAACAUAAUAACUAAAAAAAAUCUCCUUAAGCAAACUCCUGAAUGGAUGGUCCUAAGGCGUUUGUCAUGCCCAAGCUUUUGUAAGUAGAUCCACACCUGUAUGAGAAAACAGAAACCAACACUAUGUGAGACAGUAACAUUCCUUACUAGACACAUGUCAGACAUGAUUGAAGCUAUUUCUGCAAAAUUAACCUAUGCGGCUAAAAGUGGAUAAAAUGCAAGAUUUGGCUAAGACCCCGCGAAGCCAAGAACCUAAGACUUACUAGGAAGAUCGGACCCUAUAUGAGUUACCUACGUAUCCCGCCCCGAGAGAUGAGAAUCAGGUUCGUGUAGUUCGGGCAGAUUGGAUACGGCGAGAAUUAAAACAAAAACAACUAAUUUAGAGAAAACAUAUUUUUGCCUUUUCCUUGAAAAUGAGGAAAAAUGCAACAUCUUUUUUUUGGAUUUUCUUUUUCCUUCUUUUUUUUGAAUUUUUUAUUUUCGAAAAAUGAUGAAAAAGUGCAAAAUCCUUUUUUUUUGAAUUUUCAAGCUUUUGUUUUAACAAAAAUGUGACAGAAAACAUAAUAGGCCCCAUUCGCUUUAUCUUCACACUUCACUCUCUCUUUUUCUUUUUUUCUCUUUUUUUUUUAAUUUGCCCUCAACUAUUAUUGGUCCACCAAAUGACCUUUUUACCCUGGAAAAUUGCAACAUGUAGCACAUAGGAUGCAAUAGGAUGGUCUUUUUAUUUCGGGUACACCUGUCCUAGACAGACCCAACCCCUGUGUUGAGUCUCCAAAGUCAAAUGCAUAUGAUGCAAACAAACAUUCCUACUAGGGAUCCAGCAUGAGGCUGAGUUAUUCUAAGUAUAAAACCUGGGUAUACUGUUCUAGACUUGUGCACCCGAGCAACAACUCGAGCCAAGGAGGGGGCUACGUACCGGGAACCAAAAGGCCAUCCGGCUUUGUAACUUGUUCGAGUUUCUUUAUUAUUUCAAGGUAUGACACUAAUAGAAUAGGGAGUCACGUCAGCGUGCACAUCCCUGAAGAUGAGAAGAGAAGGGUUUCAUAUCAGUUUAUAUACAAUUCAGAUAAUAUCAAAGCGGUAAAAAGUAGCACUUAGCACAUUAGGCCCAAACAUGUGAAUAAAAUCAGAUAAUAAAUAAAGACAAAUACAACAAUUAUUCUAAGCUCGAAUUCUGAAUCCUGAACCAGAGAUUCUGGGUUCUUACUCCGCAACAGAGUCGCCAGAGCUGUCACACCUCCUUUUUCCUACACUCCGGAAGGGAGUAUAAGGGAGUUUUUUCUAACUUAAAGUGCCAAUCGAAACGGGAUUAUUUUAUUAAAAAUUUAGAGUCGCCACUUGGGAUAAUUUUAUGGUGUCCCAACUCACUGAUUUCAAAUCCUGAAUCGACUAAAACGUUGACUCUAUUUUAUAGUCCGCGAACACAGAAAUCCGAGUAAGGAAUUUUGUUAACCCAGGAGAAAGUGUUAGGUAUUCCCGAAUUCCGUGGUUCUAGCACGGUCGCUCAACUAUUAUAGUUGGCCUAUUGUCUUAUUCUAAUACAUGUUUUAACCCUAUACAAUUUUAACUUUAUAACCGCUUUUGUUUAAUUAUUUUUAGGAAAGAUUCAACAUCAUCUAAAAUACGUCUGGAACCACGUCAUAUAAAUGCACCCGUGGUUCACGACACAUUUUAUCUAACGUUGUUGAGAUUUGGAUUUGGGUCACAUAAAUGCACACCCGAGUUUAGGAAGGUAAUUUUUAAAAUAGCGCGCCUAAAGCAACUACGCAUCUUCAAGCUACCAUUUGAGAUAAAACGACAUAAUCACAUGAAUAAAUAUUUCGCUAGCUAAACCAGUAAGGGAGCUCAACAGCUAAAUGAAAUAAAUUGUAAAAAAAACGUACUUCAUUCACACAAAUUUUAUAGAGAACAAAAGCAUGUAGUCAUAAGUAUAGACACGUUUGAGAGACUUACAUAUAUAUGUCAGAAUUGAAAAAGACUCCUAUAUAUGAUUUCAUUUUUUUAUAAUAUAUAUGCUUAUACUACACAGUUGGAGAGGUAAAUGAGCAAUAUGUGCUUCUUUUAUGUUUUAUUAUUAUUUUUGCCUCAUUUAGCUACACCUCUAGCAGAGACAUAUUUUGAUGCCAUUGCCAAGUUAGUAAAGAAAAGCACGGUCAGAACUACUUACUAGCAUUUGAUAUAAAAAUAAUUUUGUCACAAAAUUACCACCGAGCAAUGUAUCUUGUGGCCAAUUUUAAUAAUAAUAAAAAAUAUUAAAAAAACAAACAUAAAAUCAUACAAUUGAAUCAAGAAAAAUAAGAGCUAGCUAGAGUUAUACAAGCUAAUACCAACUAAAGAGCUGACGACAUGUUCUAAGUUAAUUAAAUAAUAUGAAAAAUAAAGAUAGCUACCGACAACUUUUCAGUAAAAUCACCAUUGCCGCAUGACUCUCUUAUUCAAAAAUGCAGCGUCAGAAGCCAAUACAUAUUGUCAUAAUCUCAAAACAAAUCAGAUCCGGGCAUACGAACAGAAAUACAUACCUAGCUGUUCGAAAAUUGGCUAAAAACACCAAAUGAAUAGACGAAAGGACCAAAUGAAGCUCAACAAGACACCAACUCCGUGGCUCAAAACAACCUUUAGAAACCCAGAAAGAAAGGAAAAUUUCGAAACCAGUCCCCUUCAAAUCCCAUUGAGAAUUCCAGUUUUCUCAUUUCUCUUGUUUCAACAAUUUUGUGUGUGCUUCUGAUUUCUUUUCUUUUUUUUUGAUCGAUUUCUUUUUUUUUUGAUUUUUUGAGUGAUGUUAGAGAUGGGAGGCUAAGGUUUUUUUUGGAAGGGGAGGAUUUUGUUCUCUUUAUCUGUGUUUUUUUAGAAAUGAAGAAGAAGGAGAACGAAAGGGAAGGUGUGCCGUUUUUCUUUUUUCUUUGUCUAGAAGGGAAGAGGUCUCAAGUGUAUGAAAAAAUCUGAUGCCUUUAGGCCUAGGUCUUGCCUUUUAUAAAAAAAAAAGAGUUUGGGUCAAGAGCGUAUUGGAUAUGGUAUUGGGCUUGGCUAGUGGGAAUUGGGUCAAUUUGAAU